RNAcentral lists this long non-coding RNA (282 nucleotides) under Mytilus galloprovincialis (Mediterranean mussel). The record is from RNAcentral. Lineage: Eukaryota; Metazoa; Mollusca; Bivalvia; Mytilida; Mytilidae.
UCGAUUUUUAUGCCCCACCUACGAUAAUAGAGGGGCAUUAUGUUUUCUGGUCUGUGCCUCCGUUCGUUCGUCCGUUCGUCCGUGCGUCCGUUCGCUUCAGGUUAAAGUUUUUGGUCAAGGUAGUUUUUGAAGAAGUUGAAGUCCAAUCAACUUGAAACUUAGUACACAUGUUCCCCAUGAUAUGAUCUUUUUAAUUUUAAUGCCAAAUUAUAGUUUUAACCCCAAUUUCAUGGUCCACCGAACAUAGAAAAUGAUAGUGCGAAGUUCAGGUUAAAGUUUUUG